AACGCGAAGAACCUUACCUGGGCUUGAACCGCACAGGACCCUCCUUAGAAAUAGGGACUUCCCGCAAGGGACCUGUGUAGAGGUGCUGCAUGGCUGUCGUCAGCUCGUGCCGUGAGGUGUUGGGUUAAGUCCCGCAACGAGCGCAACCCUUACUCGUAGUUGCCACCCGCAAGGGGGAACUCUACGAGGACUGCUCCGGAUAACGGAGAGGAAGGUGGGGAUGAGGUCAAGUCAGCAUGGCCUUUAUGUCCAGGGCUACACACGUGUUACAAUGCACGUUACAAAGUGUCGCGAACCCGCGAGGGGGGAGCUAAUCGACAAAAAACGUGCUCAGUUCGGAUUGCAGUCUGCAACUCGACUGCAUGAAGCCGGAAUCGCUAGUAAUGGCGUAUCAGAUCGACGCCGUGAAUACGUUCCCGGGCUUGUACACACCGUAGUAC
RNAcentral lists this ribosomal RNA (440 nucleotides) under uncultured bacterium. RNAcentral describes it as "bacterial SSU rRNA". It matches the Rfam family "Bacterial small subunit ribosomal RNA", at positions 958 to 1398 of the family's 1533-position model. The record is from RNAcentral.